Mizuhopecten yessoensis (Yesso scallop) is the source of this 1208-nucleotide long non-coding RNA. RefSeq lists it as uncharacterized. Lineage: Eukaryota; Metazoa; Mollusca; Bivalvia; Pectinida; Pectinidae. The transcript has 3 exons. The record is from RefSeq and is a predicted model, not a curated record.
GACAAGACGCCAUAUUAGCGAGCUAAAGAUGUCAGAGUAUCUCUCCCAGCUCGGCAACGUCUGUAACACAGUCAACUGUGACUUCCAGGACAUCAUGCUUCUAGGGAAGAGGACAAUAAGUGCGGAACGUCGUGGUGUGUCGUCCUACAGAUUGUGUUGUAACAGGUAGCGUAAACCACACUUGGGACCGUACACCAGAAGAUCUCAAAAUAUGACAUUAAUGAAACUGAUUCUACACCGGUGAUUUACUGCUGAUUAUAUGUAAACUCUGUAUAUCUGGAACCAUAAACAAUCACAUAAUACUCGUAAAUCGCCUGUCUAAAGGCAUAUCAAAUAUCAACUAGCAACCCACCAGUGGCAAAUAAACAGCGAAGAUGGUCUUAACGGUGGUAGGAUUUCCCUACAUGACUAACUUUAUUUUCGCUGCUAUCAAUGAGAACUGUCUGUUGAUAAGUAUAAGUAGGUUCGACCUCACUCUCACCCAAGAAGUUUGUCUAGAAUACGUCACUGGUAUUAAGAUGAUAAUAGGGAGAACAGUCCGUUAUAGCUAACCAUUGUUAUUAUACAGGUUUCUAACGAUAACUUGAAUAUUCUGUGGAGAAUUAAAUAUUGUCAGUGUUUAGUAACCGUACAAUGUAAAACUAAUACAAUACACAUUGUUUCUAAAGAUAGAAACAGAUUUAUUUUAAUUUUUAAAGAAAUUGUUUAUAAAAUGUCUUUAUGAAAAUUGACCGGCUAUCACCGGAUGUACCGGUACAUUUUAUAUGACCCUCUUAAACAGACAAGAAACUUUCUUUUUGUCUUAACUGUAAAUUAUUGAAGUGUUGCCGAUUAAAUUUAUUUUUAAUUUGUAUUAAGCAGCAAUUACAAGGUAUAAAAACAAUCGAACAAAAGGAUAACGUUCAUUGAUUUCCUUUAUUUGUAUUAUUUAUUCCAUAUUCGAUAUGCUCACAAAUAAAUCUCCGAUUAUAGUACGUAGCCCUCCUCAUUUAAGCGGAAUUAGCAUUCACGUACCACCUUAGUACGGGCAUGAACCUAGAAUGGUACUAAAUGCUUAUACAGUUUUAAAUAUCUCAUAUCUGUUUUAAGAUGUUAAAAGCAUAUCAGAUGCAUUAAUAAGGUUUAUUUCCAGUCAUUUCUGUACACAAAUGGAAAUAGAAACCAGAAGAAAAAUAUUUAAUUUUGUUGAAUAAUAUUAAAAUGGUUAC